GGACGGGUGAGUAACGCGGAAGCAAUUUGGCCUUACAGGGGCAUAACACAGGGACACUAGUACUAAUACCGCAUAUUAAUAUCUAAUCGCAUGAUUGAGUGAUGAAAGUGGAAACACGGUAAAGGGGGAGCUCUCGUUCUAUUAGAUAGUUGGUGGGGUAACGGCCUACCAAGUCAACGAUAGAUAGCCGUCCUGAGAGGGUGAUCGGCCACACUGGAACUGAGACACGGUCCAGACUUCUACGGAAGGCAGCAGUAGGGAAUAUUGGGCAAUGGGCGAAAGCCUGACCCAGCAACGCCGCGUGAGGGAAGAAGGUUCUCGGAUUGUAAACCUCUAUCCUCGGUGAAGAUAAUGACGGUCCGUGAGGAGGAAGCCACGGCUAACUACGUGCCAGCAGCCGCGGUAAUACGUAGGUGGCGAGCGUUGUCCGGAUUUACUGGGUGUAAAGGGAGCGCAGGCGGGCUGGCAAGUUGGAAGUGAAAACCAUGGGCUCAACCCAUGAAUUGCUUUCAAAACUGCUGGUCUUGAGUAGUGCAGAGGUAGGCGGAAUUCCCGGUGUAGCGGUGGAAUGCGUAGAUAUCGGGAGGAACACCAGUGGCGAAGGCGGCGUACUGGGCACCAACUGACGAUGAGGCUCGAAAGCAUGGGUAGCAAACAGGAUUAGAUACCAUGGUAGUCCAUGCCGUAAACGAUGAUUAGUAGGUGUUGGAGGAUUGACCCUUUCAGUGCCGCAGUUAACACAAU
RNAcentral lists this ribosomal RNA (744 nucleotides) under uncultured bacterium. RNAcentral describes it as "bacterial SSU rRNA". It matches the Rfam family "Bacterial small subunit ribosomal RNA", at positions 100 to 861 of the family's 1533-position model. The record is from RNAcentral.